Molecule: ribosomal RNA, 252 nt
Filed under: uncultured bacterium
Lineage: Bacteria
Description: partial 16S ribosomal RNA
Rfam family: Bacterial small subunit ribosomal RNA
Source: RNAcentral
UACGGAGGAUGCGAGCGUUAUCCGGAUUUAUUGGGUUUAAAGGGUGCGUAGGCGGAUCGUUAAGUCAGUGGUCAAAUUGAGUGGCUCAACCCCUUCCCGCCAUUGAAACUGGCGAUCUUGAGUGGAAGAGAAGUAUGCGGAAUGCGUGGUGUAGCGGUGAAAUGCAUAGAUAUCACGCAGAACCCCGAUUGCGAAGGCAGCAUGCCGGCUUCCUACUGACGCUGAAGCACGAAAGCGUGGGGAUCGAACAGG